AUGGGGGUGUGGGCCAGGGCCCAGGGCAGCACGUGCGCCCGCCAGUCCUGCUGCGCUGGGCCGGGCUCAGCGGCCGCACUGCCUACUCGCCCAGGGGCCACAUCCUCAGGAGGCUCCACCGCCUCUGAAGGCGGCUCUCACCGGGGCAGCCCGAGCCGUGUCCCCACUGCCGGGCCCGCCCAGGGGUCCACCACUGCGGAGCGGGGCUCAGGCUGCUUCCAGAGCGGCUGCCGUGCCCGGCUCCAGGCACCGCUGCCCUUCUGCUCUGGGCGGGGAGAGAAGCGGAGGCCCUUUCUGCACACCCGAGGCCCCAGCUGCCCGCUGCGGGAGCCUCGUCCUGCUGGGCACCAGGCACUGGGCCUGGACCCUGUCCUCCCACAGCCCCGGCCCAGGAGGCAGCCCCUCACCCGCAUGCAUGCGCCUCCGGGCCCGGAGCCCCAGCCUAUGGGCCUGAUGGCCGGCCCUUCUGGCCACAGCGGGCCCGGCCGUGGCUUAGGCUGCCCCCAGCCUCAGAGGAAGCAGGGCCUCCUCCCCACGCUCUGCUGCAGGCCUUGCUCCUUGGCAGGGCCCUCUGCCGGCUCAGCCCUCUCCCCUUCCUGGCGCUGGGCAGAGGGCCCCCCGGCCCCCCACAUACACAAGUUCUCGGCUCGGCCGAGCACGUCCAGGCCACAGGACGGCUCCACAGGGGUCUGCGCUCAGCCACGCCGCCAGGCAGCGUCAAUUCCACAGGGUGGACGCCUCCAGAAACUGCCCACCAGGCCCAUGGGAGGUCACCCCAGCAACCUCCCACUCCUGCUCGUCCUCAGCAACUGCUUCACCUUCUCUGCUGAGGCCCCGACUCGGACUCAGAGGCACCGGGCUGAGGCCGCCCUCAAGCUGCUUUACAAGGAUCAUCUCCCUCCCUCACGGGGAAAGCACAGCAGGGAUGCGUGGAAAGAAUGUACCUACAGAUAUGUACAGACACAGUGCUGCACACACAGCGCUGUAAUUUUGUAUGUAGCAACCAUGUAA
This 1011-nucleotide long non-coding RNA is filed under the name Cervus hanglu yarkandensis (Yarkand deer). RNAcentral's name for it is "lncRNA (ENSCHYG00000003449.1)". The record is from RNAcentral. Lineage: Eukaryota; Metazoa; Chordata; Mammalia; Artiodactyla; Cervidae.